UCCCUGGUGGUCCAGUGGUUAGGACUCCACACUUCGAUUGCAGAGGGCCCAGGUUCGAUCCCUGGUCGGGGAA
This is a non-coding RNA of Eubalaena glacialis (North Atlantic right whale), 73 nucleotides long. The record is from the annotation of a RefSeq genome assembly. Lineage: Eukaryota; Metazoa; Chordata; Mammalia; Artiodactyla; Balaenidae.